AAAAACCCCAAGCUUCUCACUGCUCUGGCCAAUAUGAAGCGCUUGAAAUCACUGUCAAUCUCCUCAGACUCUGCGACUCAUUCAGCGAUAGGAAGCUGUGGCAAGGAGCAACAGGGUGCUCUCUUGUUUUAUAACCAUGGGGAAUUAUUAAGGCUUAGUUGCAACCAGAG
Long non-coding RNA from Cygnus olor (mute swan), 170 nucleotides. RefSeq lists it as uncharacterized. Lineage: Eukaryota; Metazoa; Chordata; Aves; Anseriformes; Anatidae. The transcript has 3 exons. The record is from RefSeq and is a predicted model, not a curated record.